This 532-nucleotide ribosomal RNA is filed under the name uncultured bacterium. RNAcentral describes it as "bacterial SSU rRNA". It matches the Rfam family "Bacterial small subunit ribosomal RNA", at positions 8 to 524 of the family's 1533-position model. The record is from RNAcentral.
AGAGUUUGAUCAUGGCUCAGGAUGAACGCUGGCUGUGUGCCUAAUACAUGCAUGUUGAACGAAGCUAAAAGUGCUUGCACUUUAAGACUUAGUAGCGAAUGGGUGAGUAACACGUACUUAACCUACCCCCAAGUUUGGGAUAACGUUUGGAAACGAACGCUAAUACCGAAUACGUAUUUUUAUCGCAUGAUAGAAAUAUAAAAGGAGCUUCGGCUUCGCUAGGGGAUGGGAGUGCGCUACAUUAGUUAGUUGGUAGGGUAAUGGCCUACCAAGACUAUGAUGUAUAGCGGGGCCGAGAGGCUGAUCCGCCACACUGGGACUGAGAUACGGCCCAGACUCCUACGGGAGGCAGCAGUAGGGAAUUUUCCACAAUGAACGAAAGUUUGAUGGAGCGACACAGCGUGCAGGAUGAAGGUCUUCGGAUCGUAAACUGCUGUUAUAAGGGAAGAAAAACUUUAGUAGGUAAUGACUAGAACUUGACGGUACCUUAUCAGAAAGCGACGGCUAACUAUGUGCCAGCGGCCGCGGUAAU